Molecule: long non-coding RNA, 265 nt
Organism: Zophobas morio
Lineage: Eukaryota; Metazoa; Arthropoda; Insecta; Coleoptera; Tenebrionidae
Exons: 3
Source: RefSeq, a predicted model, not a curated record
CGAAACUCGAGAAGAGUAUGAUGGUGAAUACGUGGCUUCAUUGAAACGAUUGAAAAUGGACGAGAAGAAAGAGAGAUCUAAAACAGGAGGUGGACAGUGCAAUACACAGCUAUCAGAUAUGGACGCUCGGAUACUAGCUAUGGUGGAGCCCCAAGCUAGACCCCUGUGUAACAUAUUUGACUGUGACAAUGUGUACCACGGAGAUGUAGUUUUGUCCCCCACUCGUGGACUAAUCGUUGUGUCACCUCCAACCCUCCCAGUUCAC